RNAcentral lists this long non-coding RNA (418 nucleotides) under Mytilus galloprovincialis (Mediterranean mussel). Lineage: Eukaryota; Metazoa; Mollusca; Bivalvia; Mytilida; Mytilidae. The record is from RNAcentral.
CUUCCCCUGAUUAUUAUGGUGUGUACUACUUAGUAUACUAGAACAGAAAUUUUAUUUCACCAAUAUUUACAGUUGUGCCAUCUGUAAGUUCCAACUUAUAGAGGUAAAAAAAAUUAAGUUUUGAUAUUUUGAAAUCAUCCAAGUGUAUCUGAAGUCCUAACUUUCUAUCAAACAGAGGUAAAACCCCAGAUUUUAAAAUGUGUUAGGUAAUCACUUUAUGACUAGGGUAUUUUACACACUGAAUUUUGGUUUUGCAAAAAAUUAAGCUAGCGCCAGUUUUUUGGCUGAGGAAGAAGGUUUUUAUGACCAGAAAGUUAACUUAAACAGCUGACAAUGGCCUAAAUGAUUUCCCUAUUUAACUGGUUUAGAAUUGUGGUUUUUAUAGAUCAAUCCAAAUAAAAAUCCAAUUGACAUUGAC